Molecule: ribosomal RNA, 253 nt
Filed under: uncultured bacterium
Lineage: Bacteria
Description: partial 16S ribosomal RNA
Rfam family: Bacterial small subunit ribosomal RNA
Source: RNAcentral
UACAGAGGGUGCAAGCGUUGUUCGGAAUUAUUGGGCGUAAAGCGCGUGUAGGCGGCUUUGCAAGUCGGGUGUGAAAGCCCCGGGCUCAACCUGGGAAUGGCAGUGGAAACUAGGGGACUGGAAUCUGGCAGAGGGGGGUGGAAUGCCGCGUGUAGCAGUGAAAUGCGUAGAGAUGCGGCGGAACACCGGUGGCGAAGGCAGCCCCCUGGGCUGAGAUUGACGCUCAGGCACGAAAGCGUGGGGAGCAAACAGG